RNAcentral lists this ribosomal RNA (250 nucleotides) under phenanthrene-metabolizing bacterium DGGE-band-8. RNAcentral describes it as "partial 16S ribosomal RNA". It matches the Rfam family "Bacterial small subunit ribosomal RNA", at positions 1107 to 1359 of the family's 1533-position model. The record is from RNAcentral. Lineage: Bacteria; Pseudomonadati; Pseudomonadota; Betaproteobacteria.
ACCGUCAGUUGCCAUCAUUCAGUUGGGCACUCUGGUGGAACCGCCGGUGACAAGCCGGAGGAAGGCGGGGAUGACGUCAAGUCCUCAUGGCCCUUAUGGGUUGGGCUACACACGUGCUACAAUGGCGGUGACAGUGGGAAGCGAAGUCGCGAGAUGGAGCCAAUCCCCAAAAGCCGUCUCAGUUCGGAUCGUACUCUGCAACUCGAGUGCGUGAAGUUGGAAUCGCUAGUAAUCGCGGAUCAGCACGCCG